RNAcentral lists this ribosomal RNA (327 nucleotides) under uncultured eukaryote. Its description in RNAcentral is "partial 18S ribosomal RNA". It matches the Rfam family "Eukaryotic small subunit ribosomal RNA", at positions 1470 to 1796 of the family's 1831-position model. The record is from RNAcentral.
CCCUUAGAUGUUCUGGGCCGCACGCGCGCUACACUGAUGAAUGCAACGAGCUCUACCCUUGACCGAAAGGCCCGGGUAAACUUGUGAAACUUCAUCGUGAUGGGGAUAGAUUAUUGCAAUUAUUAAUCUUCAACGAGGAAUUCCUAGUAAGUGCGAGUCAUCAGCUCGCGUUGAUUACGUCCCUGCCCUUUGUACACACCGCCCGUCGCUCCUACCGAUUGAAUGGUCCGGUGAAAUCUUCGGAUUGCUGACCAAGAUCCAGCAAUGGAGCUUGGUUGCGAGAAGUUGAUUAAACCUUAUUAUUUAGAGGAAGGAGAAGUCGUAACA